AAGGAUCAUUAAAUAAUUUAGAUGGCCUUUGCUAGUUUUCUAGCGAAUGGUUCAUUCUUUUUUACUGUGAACUGUUUUAAUUUUUCAGCGUCUGAGGAAUGUCUUUUAGCCAUAGGGAUAGGCUACUAGAAUGUUAACCGAGCUGAAAGUCAGGCUUAGGCCUGGUAUCCUAUUAAUUAUUUACCAAAAGAAUUCAGUAUUAUAAUUGUAACAUAAGCGUAAAAAACUUAUAAAACAACUUUUAACAACGGAUCUCUUGGUUCUCGCAUCGAUGAAGAACGUAGCAAAGUGCGAUAACUAGUGUGAAUUGCAUAUUCAGUGAAUCAUCGAGUCUUUGAACGCAACUUGCGCUCAAUGGUAUUCCAUUGAGCACGCCUGUUUCAGUAUCAAAAACACCCCACAUUCAUAAUUUUGUUGUGAAUGGAAAUGAGAGUUUCGGCUUUAUUGCUGAAUUCUUUAAAAUUAUUAGGCCUGAACUAUUGUUCUUUCUGCCUGAACAUUUUUUUAAUAUAAAGGAAUGCUCUAGUAAAAAGACUAUCUCUGGGGCCUCCCAAAUAAAUCAUUCUUAAAUUUGAUCUGAAAUCAGGCGGG
Molecule: ribosomal RNA, 591 nt
Filed under: Mucor hiemalis
Lineage: Eukaryota; Fungi; Mucoromycota; Mucoromycetes; Mucorales; Mucoraceae
Description: eukaryotic LSU rRNA
Rfam family: 5.8S ribosomal RNA (bases 237-389)
Source: RNAcentral